This 1056-nucleotide long non-coding RNA is filed under the name Neodiprion pinetum (white pine sawfly). Its description in RNAcentral is "uncharacterized LOC124216704, transcript variant X1". Lineage: Eukaryota; Metazoa; Arthropoda; Insecta; Hymenoptera; Diprionidae. The record is from RNAcentral.
CCGUCUAUCGUUGCCGUCGGGAUUGUUUGUCGAUAUUUCGAAUGGAGCGCGGUAUUUCGCAUUGUGUAUAGGCCGGUACACGUCCGCAGUAUCCGGCCGUUCAACCAAAUGUUUAAUAAUACUAUUUCAUUCCAUCCAUCCACAAUAUUGCCCGGAUAAAUAUAUUACAAUCCAUCAGAGUGCCGCACGCGUCGCUGGCUCCGAUUUCUGCAGUGCACGGUCGAAUGAAUGUCCGCCGCACGCCUCCCUUUCCCAAAUCCAAAGCCACGACGUGAGGGAGUGCGGUACGAUAUUCGUUCAUUCGGUAUUAAUAGACUGUGAUAAAAGCCUGAUUAACACUAUCCAUUAGCAUUUAUAAAUUCUCGUCCAAAUGCGCACCCUCGUCAUCGGCGAGGGGGAAAUUGGUGGAACGAUAUCGAACCUCCUCUACUGCACCGAGACAAAUCAACCCCACCUCAACUAUUGGCCAGGCGACCAGACAGGCGUUGAACCCGGAAAAUAGCGCGUCCAGAGCCGAAGUGCCGAGGCUCUCGUAGACCUUCUCCUGGGUCGCGUGUCCUUCGGAGUCCAGGGUGGCGGAGUUGAAGCAGUAGUCAAAACCGUAGCGUCUCGUCCGCUUUCGACUGUCGCCAGCCUUGCUCGCCGAGACUUUCAGGUAGGAACGGGAAUCCCGGUGGGAAAGAAGAUCGACAUUUCACCUUUGGAUCCGAGAAAUUAUCGAAAUUCCGGGCUACUUGAGUACCAUGGAAUCUGUGGCAAUCUCGAUUUGUGAACAAGUUUCUAAAGAGGUAUAAUUUAUUGUGAGAAGUAAUUGCGAUAGCGAAUAGAGUCAGUGUCGUGGGAUAAAGAAGAGAGUGUUGAGUGUAAUCACAAGUGAGAAUGUUCUUUAGGGAAUGUUCUUGGGGGCCAAAACUUGGAUGGAUCAAUAUUUGGAAUGACCGAUAUAUCGAUAUUUCAAACAUGCGAAAGUAAAAUAAUGGAAGAUGAAUUGUUCGAAGUCUUGAUUUUCGAAAAUAUCACUGAUUAGAAACAUUCUAAUACAAAGUCUUUCGAAAU